UUUAAGCAAAAAUCAGAGAAGGUGAGGAUGAAGGCUGAUUGGGGCAACGAAAAAUGGGGGACAAGAGAGAAGAUAAGAUAGAGUCAUGCACGCUUUGUUGGCUGAAGAAAUCUCGUGAUUUUGGAGAUUUCUAGCGCGUAACAUUGGUCCAAAAUUACCUCCCUCCGCCUGUAAAAGGUUGAGCCCGAAGCUGCUUGGGGGGGGGAGAAGGAGCUGAGAAUGAAGAGAAGAGAGAUAGUGGACUGAGGACGAAAACCCGAGAAGGAGAAACCCAAUGAGGUAGGAUGCUGUUUGGGCUCUUGGCUUACAUUAUGAGGUGUUCACUUAACAUUGAAGUGAGUAUUUGUGGAAAAAGCAAACAUGUCAUGCAUCCCAACAGCAUUCUUCUUUAAGUUGAAUUUACACUAAGGGUAUAAUUAUAGCAUGUUAGCGGCAUCUCUUAAUGCCAUGUGAAUACCUAUUGCAUUUUGAAUUUUAUAUAUAGAUUAAUGGUUUACGGGUAUGAUAUUUUUUCCUGUUGCAAUUGCAUGUUUAUCUAAUUUAAGUCUUGCAUGAUUCUUCUUUUAUACACUUUAGAAUUGGAACUUGGGAAUGUCAUGUUAGAAUAAUUAAUUCAUUUUUUUUAUGGUGGUGAAAAAAAGAAUUUAGAAAAGAAGAAGAAGACGAUGAAGCCGAAAACAGAGGACCACAAGGAGAGAGAGAGAGAGAGAGAGAGAGAGAGAGAGAGAGAGAGAGAGAGAGAGAGAGAAUGAUGGUUGAGGAAGAUGAGAAGAAGACUUGAGAAUGGCGGUAAAGAAAGAAGAAGUAGGGAGAAAGUGGUGGUGAAGAAAGUAAAGCGGCGGCAUUUUUUUUUUCUUUCUCCUAAGUUGGUCACCCACACGCGCACAAAUAUAUACACACACACAGCUAUUUAUAAGCAUCCCCCUGUCUCUAUGUUCUCUAUCCCUGUUUUUUAAAAUUGAAGAAUUGAUGUGUUUUUAGCCUUAUGAUGUCUCUCAAAUUAGAUAAUUUACAUUUCAACCUUAUCAAUAAUUUGUAGUUUUUAGUUUAAUCAUAACAACUGACAUAAAAACUUAGUUUGAGCACGAGUGUUAGUGCAGUAGUGAAUUUAUAUUCGUAAAGUUUGAAGAAGCAUCUUGAAUUGAUGAUUUUUGCUGUUAGCGCAAGUAUAUCAGAGUUGAUGGUUCUUGUACUUUCGAG
Molecule: long non-coding RNA, 1200 nt
Filed under: Carica papaya (papaya)
Lineage: Eukaryota; Viridiplantae; Streptophyta; Magnoliopsida; Brassicales; Caricaceae
Description: long non-coding RNA (CPAP_LNC012849)
Source: RNAcentral